Molecule: ribosomal RNA, 755 nt
Filed under: uncultured Armillaria
Lineage: Eukaryota; Fungi; Basidiomycota; Agaricomycetes; Agaricales; Tricholomataceae
Description: partial 28S ribosomal RNA
Rfam family: Eukaryotic large subunit ribosomal RNA
Source: RNAcentral
GAAUCCCGUCUCUGACACGGACUACCAAGGCUUUGUGGUACGCUCUCGAAGAGUCGAGUUGUUUGGGAAUGCAGCUCUAAAUGGGUGGUAAAUUCCAUCUAAAGCUAAAUAUUGGCGAGAGACCGAUAGCAAACAAGUACCGUGAGGGAAAGAUGAAAAGAACUUUGGAAAGAGAGUUAAACAGUACGUGAAAUUGUUGAAAGGGAAACGCUUAAAGUCCAGUCGCGUUGGUUAGGAAUCAGCCUUGGUUUUCCUUGGUGUACUUCCUAAUCGACGGGUCAACAUCAGUUUUGACCGUUGGAUAAAGGUUGAGGGAAUGUGGCACCUUCGAGUGUGUUAUAGCCCUUGAUUGUAUACAGCGGUUGGGACUGAGGAACUCAGCACGCCGAAAGGCCGGGUCUUGUACCACGUUCGUGCUUAGGAUGUUGGCAUAAUGGCUUUAAUCGACCCGUCUUGAAACACGGACCAAGGAGUCUAACAUGCCUGCGAGUGUUUGGGUGGAAAACCCGAGCGCGUAAUGAAAGUGAAAGUUGAGAACUCUUAGAGUGCAUCGACGCCCGGAGCAGACCUUUUGUGACGCAUCCGCGGUAGAGCAUGUAUGUUGGGACCCGAAAGAUGGUGAACUAUGCCUGAAUAGGGUGAAGCCAGAGGAAACUCUGGUGGAGGCGCGUAGCGAUUCUGACGUGCAAAUCGAUCGUCAAAUUUGGGUAUAGGGGCGAAAGACUAAUCGAACCAUCUAGUAGCUGGUUCCUGCC